AGAGUUUGAUCAUGGCUCAGAACGAACGCUGGCGGCAGGCUUAACACAUGCAAGUCGAGCGCCCAGCAAUGGGAGCGGCGCACGGGUGAGUAACACGUGGGAACACGCCCUAUGGUUCGGAAUAACGCAGGGAAACUUGCGCUAAUACCGGAUAAGCCCUUACGGGGAAAGAUUUAUCGCCAUUGGAGUGGCCCGCGUUGGAUUAGCUAGUUGGUGGGGUAAAAGCCUACCAAGGCAACGAUCCAUAGCUGGUUUGAGAGAACGACCAGCCACACUGGGACUGAGACACGGCCCAGACUCCUACGGGAGGCAGCAGUGGGGAAUCUUGGACAAUGGGGGAAACCCUGAUCCAGCCAUGCCGCGUGAGUGAUGAAGGCCCUAGGGUUGUAAAACUCUUUCGGCGGGGACGAUAAUGACGGUACCCGCAGAAGAAGCUCCGGCUAACUUCGUGCCAGCAGCCGCGGUAAUACGAAGGGGGCUAGCGUUGUUCGGAAUUACUGGGCGUAAAGCGCGCGCAGGCGGUCCUUUAAGUCGGGGGUGAAAGCCCAGAGCUCAACUCUGGAACUGCCUUCGAAACUAGAGGACUUGGGUACGGGAGAGGUGAGUGGAAUUCCGAGUGUAGAGGUGAAAUUCGUAGAUAUUCGGAAGAACACCAGUGGCGAAGGCGGCUCACUGGCCCGUUUACCGACGCUCAGGCGCGACAGCGUGGGGAGCAAACAGGAUUAGAUACCCUAGUAGUCC
Molecule: ribosomal RNA, 741 nt
Filed under: uncultured bacterium
Lineage: Bacteria
Description: bacterial SSU rRNA
Rfam family: Bacterial small subunit ribosomal RNA
Source: RNAcentral